GAUGAACGCUGGCGGUAUGCCUAACACAUGCAAGUCGUACGAGAGUUUUUAACUCUAGUGGCGGACGGGUGAGUAACACGUGAGAAUUUGCCUUUAGGAGGGGGAUAACAAUUGGAAACGAAUGCUAAUACCCCAUAUGCUUUUGAGUGAAAUGGAUUUUAUCCGCCUAAAGAGAAGCUCGCGGCUGAUUAGCUUGUUGGUAAGGUAAGAGCUUACCAAGGCGACGAUCAGUAUCUGGUUUGAGAGGACGAUCAGACACACUGGAACUGAGACACGGUCCAGACUCCUACGGGAGGCAGCAGUGGGGAAUUUUCCGCAAUGGGCGAAAGCCUGACGGAGCAAUACCGCGUGAGGGAAGAAUGCCUAUGGGUUGUAAACCUCUUUUUCAGGGAGGAACAAAAUGACGUGUACCUGAAGAAUAAGCAUCGGCUAACUCCGUG
This 440-nucleotide ribosomal RNA is filed under the name uncultured bacterium. Its description in RNAcentral is "bacterial SSU rRNA". It matches the Rfam family "Bacterial small subunit ribosomal RNA", at positions 28 to 507 of the family's 1533-position model. The record is from RNAcentral.